RNAcentral lists this long non-coding RNA (469 nucleotides) under Dermacentor andersoni. RNAcentral's name for it is "uncharacterized LOC126539020". Lineage: Eukaryota; Metazoa; Arthropoda; Arachnida; Ixodida; Ixodidae. The record is from RNAcentral.
CCGCGUCGAGAAAUGAUGGACGACGCAGUUGGGCGGCAAAGACCGGGAGGACCGCGGCUGGCUCCGGUGUCGUCGAGGGGACGACGAGGCGAACGCGUUCUCAGCGGCCGAAACCGUGCCGUACGGCUGAGCGGCCGGCGUAUCGUCGGCCUCGCAACCACGCACCGUGCCCCAGGACGAGGCCGAAGUCGCGGCAGCCACCGUGCAGCCACCGCCGAUUCCUAAAGCAUUCGAAGGCUUCCAGCGGCGGAACGCCCUCUACCGGCCCCUUGUGAGGUAUUCUACGGUAUGCCGCAUCGUGGCCACCAGGACCACGUGACCAGGACGCCGCCCGCGUCUGCCGCCGCCGAGCUGUGGCAUCCCCAGCAGCAACCGUCACGGCUACUGCGCGCGGAUGUUGGAACGUUUGAUGGGCGUUCGCGUAUUGUGUAGUGUAUCGUUUCGUCGAUAAAUGACGUUUGAUUGCGAA